This is a long non-coding RNA of Balaenoptera musculus (blue whale), 702 nucleotides long. RefSeq lists it as uncharacterized. Lineage: Eukaryota; Metazoa; Chordata; Mammalia; Artiodactyla; Balaenopteridae. The record is from RefSeq and is a predicted model, not a curated record. The transcript is spliced from 4 exons.
CCCGAAACUGCAAAGAAAAAUGCCCUGGAUGACUUAAUCUGAAAAGACCAGAGGGCAUGGAAAUAAUUUCAGUUUUGAUCUUGAUGCAGAAUUAUGCUGACUUCUACUGCUCACCUUCCUUCAGCCUUUCUGCUUGACGGCUUCCUCAACCUCCUCUGAAGUUUUCAUCUGAGUCCAUGAAGAGGAUGAUGCAAUAGAUGACAACAAGCAUUUGGAUGAAUCCCUGCAUCUAGCCUUGGACGACGUUCAUGCCACCUGGCAGGCAUUGUGUGAGGCAGGUGCCAUUGGUGCCCUCACUCGACAGCCCGGGAAUCUGAAUUACAGGGGUGAUAAGUAAAACUCGCUGAUCACAAGAGCUGAACUGAGGAGCCCAGGGCGUCUGGCUGCAAAGUCUUAGCUUUCACCGUUACCCUGUUGGCUUCCUACCUGGGAAAAACUCCCCUCCUGGAUCUGAAUGUUGUAAUGUUUUCCUCACUGAAAAUAAGUGUCUUUGUAUCCUUUUCAGCUAAUGCAAAAUUUGGGUCUAUGUACUUGCCCAAGGUUGCAGGAUCAUCUUUGCAGGAAGUGGACAGAAUGAGACGGCCUCUCAGUCCAGCUGGAGGGAUUCAUGAUUGGGUGUUUUUAAAGAGGUCUCUCGAUCUUGGAAUGACGAAGGCCAUGUGGGCCCCAUUUUUAAGCAGUUACAUUUUCUCCAGCUAGGCC